UGCCAGACUCCUACGGGAGGCAGCAGUGAGGAAUAUUGGUCAAUGGGCGGGAGCCUGAACCAGCCAAGCCGCGUGAAGGAAGAAGGCGCCAGGCGUCGUAAACUUCUUUUGUCGGGGAACAAAGGGCGCCACGCGUGGCGUUGUGAGUGUACCCGAAGAAAAAGCAUCGGCUAACUACGUGCCAGCAGCCGCGGUAAUACGUAGGGGGCAAGCGUUAUCCGGAUUUACUGGGUGUAAAGGGGGCGCAGACGGCGAUGCAAGCCAGGAGUGAAAGCCCGGGGCCCAACCCCGGGACUGCUCUUGGAACUGCGUGGCUGGAGUGCAGGAGGGGCAGGCGGAAUUCCUGGUGUAGCGGUGAAAUGCGUAGAUAUCAGGAGGAACACCGGUGGCGAAGGCGGCCUGCUGGACUGCAACUGACGUUGAGGCCCGAAAGCGUGGGGAGCAAACAGGAUUAGAUACCCCCGUA
RNAcentral lists this ribosomal RNA (466 nucleotides) under uncultured bacterium. Its description in RNAcentral is "bacterial SSU rRNA". It matches the Rfam family "Bacterial small subunit ribosomal RNA", at positions 329 to 792 of the family's 1533-position model. The record is from RNAcentral.